RNAcentral lists this ribosomal RNA (937 nucleotides) under Mycolicibacterium parafortuitum. RNAcentral describes it as "bacterial SSU rRNA". It matches the Rfam family "Bacterial small subunit ribosomal RNA", at positions 47 to 999 of the family's 1533-position model. Lineage: Bacteria; Bacillati; Actinomycetota; Actinomycetes; Mycobacteriales; Mycobacteriaceae. The record is from RNAcentral.
CUUAACACAUGCAAGUCGAACGGAAAGGCCCUUCGGGGUACUCGAGUGGCGAACGGGUGAGUAACACGUGGGUGAUCUGCCCUGCACUUUGGGAUAAGCCUGGGAAACUGGGUCUAAUACCGAAUAUGAUCAUUGGCUUCAUGGCUGGUGGUGGAAAGCUUUUGCGGUGUGGGAUGGGCCCGCGGCCUAUCAGCUUGUUGGUGGGGUAAUGGCCUACCAAGGCGACGACGGGUAGCCGGCCUGAGAGGGUGACCGGCCACACUGGGACUGAGAUACGGCCCAGACUCCUACGGGAGGCAGCAGUGGGGAAUAUUGCACAAUGGGCGCAAGCCUGAUGCAGCGACGCCGCGUGAGGGAUGACGGCCUUCGGGUUGUAAACCUCUUUCAAUAGGGACGAAGCGCAAGUGACGGUACCUAUAGAAGAAGGACCGGCCAACUACGUGCCAGCAGCCGCGGUAAUACGUAGGGUCCGAGCGUUGUCCGGAAUUACUGGGCGUAAAGAGCUCGUAGGUGGUUUGUCGCGUUGUUCGUGAAAACUCACAGCUUAACUGUGGGCGUGCGGGCGAUACGGGCAGACUAGAGUACUGCAGGGGAGACUGGAAUUCCUGGUGUAGCGGUGGAAUGCGCAGAUAUCAGGAGGAACACCGGUGGCGAAGGCGGGUCUCUGGGCAGUAACUGACGCUGAGGAGCGAAAGCGUGGGGAGCGAACAGGAUUAGAUACCCUGGUAGUCCACGCCGUAAACGGUGGGUACUAGGUGUGGGUUUCCUUCCUUGGGAUCCGUGCCGUAGCUAACGCAUUAAGUACCCCGCCUGGGGAGUACGGCCGCAAGGCUAAAACUCAAAGGAAUUGACGGGGGCCCGCACAAGCGGCGGAGCAUGUGGAUUAAUUCGAUGCAACGCGAAGAACCUUACCUGGGUUUGACAUGCACAGGACGCC